Long non-coding RNA from Drosophila arizonae, 1017 nucleotides. NCBI's taxonomy places the organism in Eukaryota, Metazoa, Arthropoda, Insecta, Diptera, Drosophilidae. The record is from RefSeq and is a predicted model, not a curated record.
AGAUUUUUUGCGGCUCCAAAAGUCGGACGUGUUCGUGGUUAUUUAUUUUAUUUUUUUUUUUUGGAAAUGCACACUUGCCAACAUUAAAUACGUGUACUGCAUUUGUUUAUAAGUGAGCGUGUAGUGAAUGCGAAUGCAACAAUGUUCGCUGUAACCAAGUGUGAUUGACUACCAAUUGUAGGGACCGACAGUAACAAAUACAAAUGAUCAAGCACACAAACAACAACCACAAUAAUAAUAAAAGCUGAAAUAGAAACAACAACAACAACCACAACAACAAGCAACGCUACUGCGUUAGCGCAACUGAUUGAACACCUCUCUCCUCUCGCCGCCUGUGACACGACAACACAGCGCCAACCAAAACACAGCAGCGCAACGGCCUGCUCAAGAAAAGAAGAUCUCCACAGCGAACGUACAAUUAAAACCAUCUCAAAUGAUUGAGAAUCCCGCACGACUAUGACGGAGGAGAUAACCGGCAAUUGGAGCUACUAUGUGUAUAUAUCACUAACGUUGGUUCCAGUCUAUUUGGCAUUUCAGCUCAUUAAGUUUUUGGGCUGGCAGCUAUUUGUGAACAACUGAGCAAAUAGCCAACGCACAGCCAACAUCCCAGCCAUCAACAGCAUCAACAAUAACAACACCAACAACAACACUUGCCAGACAACACCAAGCAGUGAGCAGCCAACACAGCGGAGUCAUAAUCACAAUUGAAAUUGGAAUUGCAGUUGAGAGUUUGGAGCUGAAGCCGAAGUUGGAAACUGCUGUUCUAAAAGGUGCGUAGUCACUUGAAGGCAGUCGCCGCUGUCAGUCGAAAGUCGUUGAGUGCGCGUAAAGGACCGAAGUGUAGAACUCUGAGCACUGCAGGCUCAGCCCAAUUUUUCAGCUCCAGGCAGACAGUCAGUCAGACAGUCAGCCAGACAGCCAGACAGCUAGGCAGUCAGGCCAGGCAGUCGUUGCAUCCAUACACAAACAACGCUCUCACUGACAAGGACCCAUCCGGACGACACGCUGGGAAUACAA